ACCACUCGGUGCAAGAGGCUGAACGUUGUACAUUGCCCUGGAGCUGCCUCAGACCAAAGCACAAUAUUUUCCGCUUCCAAGAAUCAGUGAAGGGCCACCUAUUAGUGGAAUUUAAAAUAUUUUUCCAAUUAAGUUCCAGACCUACAGAGUCAGUUUUGAAUGUGAGAAGAAAGGGCCAGCAAGUGAACGGAGUUGCUCUAAAAAAGCUGUUUCUUGAGAUGACGGGAGUUCGAUGUUUGCAGAGCCCUCCGCCCUCUUUCUGAAUAAGGAAACACCUGCGUGAAGCGGGGGUGCAAAGCCCUCCCUCCCUCCAGGCACAAUGAGAGAGAAAAUGCUGUGGAUUUUUCAGUGCUGUUAUCCAACGGUCAAAAAGUGGUGGUUGCAGUGAAUAAGACUUGGAGGAAAAUAUGCAUGUAAUCUACUCUCACCAGUGAGACUUUGAAUUCAGAAGGGGAGGGAGCAAAGCAGAAAUCAAGAAACAAAACAUAACUCAGAAUGCUGCAGCCAACUGUCUAUUUUUUCACAAUCUGCCCACUCCUUAAACAAACAUGAAACGUUAUAACUAGCUGUAGUCAGAUACUACGGGAAGCAAAAAGACCAGAAGAAAAACCUCAAACAUCCGGCCUUCAUCUGUCUUCUGCAUGAAAUCUACUUGGCUCCGUGACUAUAAAUGUUUCCCUCUUAAGAAGUGAAAAUCAGACAUGAUGUCAUAGAAUGACCAGGUCCACACUAUAUUUUUCAAAAUUAGUAUUUUUCUGAUGAACACACGACCCACAUAUUGGUAAAACUAUUAUGUUUUAUCAGAGGGGACCAAAACCAGAAAUUCUAUUUGUUUUAAUAUCAAUAAAUAAUCAACAAGAUGUGUAUUGGUUUAAAUGUGUGUAUGUCCUUGUAUCUUUUUUAAAAAAUGCCUGUUAGCUGUAUG
Molecule: long non-coding RNA, 925 nt
Organism: Dama dama (fallow deer)
Lineage: Eukaryota; Metazoa; Chordata; Mammalia; Artiodactyla; Cervidae
Exons: 3
Source: RefSeq, a predicted model, not a curated record